RNAcentral lists this ribosomal RNA (1757 nucleotides) under Salmonella enterica subsp. enterica serovar Heidelberg str. CFSAN002057. RNAcentral describes it as "bacterial LSU rRNA". It matches the Rfam family "Bacterial large subunit ribosomal RNA", at positions 1193 to 2925 of the family's 2925-position model. Lineage: Bacteria; Pseudomonadati; Pseudomonadota; Gammaproteobacteria; Enterobacterales; Enterobacteriaceae. The record is from RNAcentral.
ACCGAAGCUGCGGCAGCGACACUGUGUGUUGUUGGGUAGGGGAGCGUUCUGUAAGCCUGUGAAGGUGUGUCGUGAGGCAUGCUGGAGGUAUCAGAAGUGCGAAUGCUGACAUAAGUAACGAUAAAGCGGGUGAAAAGCCCGCUCGCCGGAAGACCAAGGGUUCCUGUCCAACGUUAAUCGGGGCAGGGUGAGUCGACCCCUAAGGCGAGGCCGAAAGGCGUAGUCGAUGGGAAACGGGUUAAUAUUCCCGUACUUGGUGUUACUGCGAAGGGGGGACGGAGAAGGCUAUGUUGGCCGGGCGACGGUUGUCCCGGUUUAAGCGUGUAGGUGUGUGUUCCAGGUAAAUCCGGUUCACUUUAACACUGAGGCGUGACGACGAGGCACUACGGUGCUGAAGCAACAAAUGCCCUGCUUCCAGGAAAAGCCUCUAAGCAUCAGGUAACAUCAAAUCGUACCCCAAACCGACACAGGUGGUCAGGUAGAGAAUACCAAGGCGCUUGAGAGAACUCGGGUGAAGGAACUAGGCAAAAUGGUGCCGUAACUUCGGGAGAAGGCACGCUGACACGUAGGUGAAGUGAUUUACUCAUGGAGCUGAAGUCAGUCGAAGAUACCAGCUGGCUGCAACUGUUUAUUAAAAACACAGCACUGUGCAAACACGAAAGUGGACGUAUACGGUGUGACGCCUGCCCGGUGCCGGAAGGUUAAUUGAUGGGGUCAGCGCAAGCGAAGCUCCUGAUCGAAGCCCCGGUAAACGGCGGCCGUAACUAUAACGGUCCUAAGGUAGCGAAAUUCCUUGUCGGGUAAGUUCCGACCUGCACGAAUGGCGUAAUGAUGGCCAGGCUGUCUCCACCCGAGACUCAGUGAAAUUGAACUCGCUGUGAAGAUGCAGUGUACCCGCGGCAAGACGGAAAGACCCCGUGAACCUUUACUAUAGCUUGACACUGAACAUUGAGCCUUGAUGUGUAGGAUAGGUGGGAGGCUUUGAAGUGUGGACGCCAGUCUGCAUGGAGCCGACCUUGAAAUACCACCCUUUAAUGUUUGAUGUUCUAACGUGGACCCGUUACCCGGGUUGCGGACAGUGUCUGGUGGGUAGUUUGACUGGGGCGGUCUCCUCCUAAAGAGUAACGGAGGAGCACGAAGGUUGGCUAAUCCUGGUCGGACAUCAGGAGGUUAGUGCAAUGGCAUAAGCCAGCUUGACUGCGAGCGUGACGGCGCGAGCAGGUGCGAAAGCAGGUCAUAGUGAUCCGGUGGUUCUGAAUGGAAGGGCCAUCGCUCAACGGAUAAAAGGUACUCCGGGGAUAACAGGCUGAUACCGCCCAAGAGUUCAUAUCGACGGCGGUGUUUGGCACCUCGAUGUCGGCUCAUCACAUCCUGGGGCUGAAGUAGGUCCCAAGGGUAUGGCUGUUCGCCAUUUAAAGUGGUACGCGAGCUGGGUUUAGAACGUCGUGAGACAGUUCGGUCCCUAUCUGCCGUGGGCGCUGGAGAACUGAGGGGGGCUGCUCCUAGUACGAGAGGACCGGAGUGGACGCAUCACUGGUGUUCGGGUUGUCAUGCCAAUGGCACUGCCCGGUAGCUAAAUGCGGAAGAGAUAAGUGCUGAAAGCAUCUAAGCACGAAACUUGCCCCGAGAUGAGUUCUCCCUGAGACUUAGAGUCUCCUGAAGGAACGUUGAAGACGACGACGUUGAUAGGCCGGGUGUGUAAGCGCAGCGAUGCGUUGAGCUAACCGGUACUAAUGAACCGUGAGGCUUAACCUUAC